CCAGAACUGAAUCAGCCAGUGCCAGAGCCUGCUGCAGCCCCGACCCGGCAGAGCAAGCGGCUCUGCUACCUCAGCCACGUAGCUGAUGGCAUCCUUCAGGUUCAGCUCGUGGAAGACAUUCAGGAUCCGGUCUCGAGACUUCUGGGCCGACCGUCUCAUGAGGACCCUGCUGAGGAACUUCCUGUCGAAGUGGGACCACCUGUAGGGACAGACCUUGGGUGUGAGCCUCAGGUGACAGGCGCCCUAGAGCCCGCCGGACGCGUGGCCCGGCCCCUUCUCUCCUGAAUUUUGUUUGCUAUAGUGACCCUGUAGGCGCGUUUAAAAUGAGGGAAGCAGCCCCUGCCACACGCCCAGGCCGUCCGCCGUUCUCCCGCCUGUCCUGUUGGAUGGAGGCCGUUAGACGCAUAUGAAACUGCAUGCCGCCUCCUCCAGAGGGUGGCUCAGGACACGGUGGGUGUCAGGCCUGGUCAGGCAAGGGGGCUUUGGCCACAUGGGGGGCACCUUCAGGUGCACAGGAGGAAGGGCAGGGGCGGACAGACACCCUGAGCCCUUAGACUUGUGGG
This 563-nucleotide long non-coding RNA is filed under the name Homo sapiens (human). RNAcentral describes it as "HSALNT0082985". Lineage: Eukaryota; Metazoa; Chordata; Mammalia; Primates; Hominidae. The record is from RNAcentral.